ACUUGCCCUUGGGGGGUGGGGCGGUGGAGCGGGUCACAGGUUAUUACAUAUGUUACCACAUUUUUUGCUUCAAAUUCUUUUUCCUAUUUUUCUCCUCUAAAACCUAGUUGUGUCUUAUGGCUCCAGUGCAUCUUAUAGUCCUAAAUAUAUGGUAAAUGUCAGCUUUGACCACUGGUAGCCCUCUACAGCACUGAUAUUAAUUCACCAGUGUCGGUCAAAAAAGACCCAUUCCUGCUGUCUUUUCUUCUCCCCCCGCCCCGCCCCUUCUCUGGCCCCAAGAAACAGUUAGUUGAGGAGAUACUGCUGGCAGAGGGAAACACUGUCUAAGCUCUCCCCUAGCCAGAGCGCAGACUCCGACCUUUAUCAGGCUCUCUGUAAAGACAGGCAGACAGAUGCUUUCAGCUUAAUCAAAAUUCGAGAGUCGUUUACUAUCACAGUGGACUGGACAUAAUAAUUACUAAACAGGGACUCUUUGAGAUGAGAAGUGAACAUGGGACUCCUUAUUAUCUAAGUUAUGAAACCUACCCUGAACAUAAUUGACAGGCAGAGACAAAUUAACGUCCUUUAGUGCAAGAUUAAAGGGAGAGUGGUAGAGGAAAAUGAAGUUGUUUUAUGAUGGCGCCCUUGGAGCCUUGCUCUCUGAACAAAACGGCUAUGAGCCCCUUCUGUCAUUAGGAAGAGAAGCGCAGAACUCAUUUAGCAAGUUGUGCUCAGCUCUUCAAAAUAUCGUUAAGAUAGUUUUGUCACUAGGAUAUAUUUUCAGAAGUCACUUACUGCAUUGCUUUUUAAAAAAUAGUUAAAUUUCAACCCAUUUCCCCACCUCCAAUCUGGUAUUUCAUUAUGAACAAAUCAUAUUUAAUGAAU
This is a long non-coding RNA of Phyllostomus discolor (pale spear-nosed bat), 864 nucleotides long. RefSeq lists it as uncharacterized. The record is from RefSeq and is a predicted model, not a curated record. NCBI's taxonomy places the organism in Eukaryota, Metazoa, Chordata, Mammalia, Chiroptera, Phyllostomidae. The transcript has 3 exons.